GAGACCCCCACCCCCACACUCCCUGGGGUAGGCUCUGCUCAGUGACCUUGACCCCAGGGAGCACAUUUCCAUUAAAGUUGACACCUCCAGCUUCUCUCUAUCUGGGCCCCUCAGAAAGUAUCCAUCGGAUGUGGCCCAUGACACCCAACCUUUGGCCUAACUUUGGGGGUCUGCCCUCCCCUUCACCCUGCUGCCAGCAGUACACGAGCCACCGAGUGCCCUCUGACUUUCCAGGCGGGCGUCGAGGCGCUGCGUGCCCUGCACUGCGGGGAAGAAGAUGAAGAUUCUGAGGGGCCCUCUCAGGCCCUGCUUCCGAGAUCUGGGGUGAAGGGGAAACACCCUCUACUCUUCUCCUUUGGGGUUAGAGAGGGGACUCACAGGACUUCAACGGCUCUUUCCAAAACUCCGCUUCUUAUCCCCAACCGCUGCCCGUGCUUUAGACCCUCCGUGUGUGAGGAGUUUGCACCCUUCAGAGUUUCAGCUGGAAAGUGGAUCUAUCGUCUUGGUGCUUCAGAGGAAACUUCUACAAUAUUCAGAUGGACGGGGCUCUCAGCCCCUCGACCACAAGGCUGUUCCAGCCUGAGCAGGUCAGUUCUGGGCAGUCUGGGAGCGGGAGGAGGGGUCCGCAGAACUCUUCCUGUCCCCGCUUUCUGCCUUCGCUUCUCAGGGGUACCCUGCCCUGGAAUGAAUGAGCUCCGCAAAUACUCAUCUCUGGGCAGCUGCCAAGUCUGGCCCCACUCCAGAGGACCGAGUGCUUGCAUCUGUCCCACUUCCCUUGGCAUGAAGGCCCCUGGCUGUCAGGGUGGGGCAGAGCUCCAGAGCCAGCCUUGGUGCUGGGACCCGGCCGAGCGAGGAGCUGCGGUGCCCAGGCCACAUGGCGUUCCCUGGUGAGGAGACGAUGUGAUGGCCACCAACACCCUUGGAACCCGUGUCGGCCCCAGUGCGAGUCAAGUGGACCCCUGCUGUCCUCCCGAGAAGUGUGACCAUUUAGUCUGAGGGGAGGGACAGUGGCAUCCUGAACCCCCACAGUGGCUGAGAAGGCUUCCAGCUGCCCAGCUGCCCUCUCUGCCCAGGAGGAGACGCUAUGCCAAGGCCCAGCUGUGGGAGAGUCUGCGUUUCCCGUGCCAUCCACUUGGAAAGGGCCUUCGUGCAGUCAGGGACUGGUGUGAUGGGGAGAAGGAGCCCAGUUUUCUUCUUGGGCGUUCCAGCCAAAUCAGGCUUGUUGAAGCCCUUCCCUGACUGCCAAGAGGGAGACCACUGCCUCCAGCCGGGAGUGCAGGAUGCCCAUUCUCACGUGGAUUCUCGUCCAUUGGAAUCUGGAGACAGGCCUGGACUUGGAGCCUUCUGCUCGUUGUCUGACCACAGGCAAGCCACUCCACCUCUCUGAGCUUUGGUCUUCUCGUUUGCACAAUAGGCAACUGGAAGUGAAAGUAUGGCUGCCAACAGGGAGACGCCUGCUAGACCGUGGUUGUUACAAAGCAGAAUCGUGGUCUAGCAGGGGGAAUAAUGCAUCCCAACCAGCGUCAGAAGGAGGCGCCAGCAGAAGGCCCGCUGCUCCCACGGGCUAAGGGGAUGAAUGACGGAGGCCAGGACCUUCCCAGGGCGUGCCUGCAGGCUUCUCCACCUAGACUGUCGUGGCCCAACCUCAGGCCAGCCCAGGCAACAGCGAGGCAAGGCCCGGCCUGGGUCUGCCGCCUCUCAGCCCAUUGGCCCUGUGGAUGCUGCGUUGCAAAACCACACUGUUUUGUUCUGACUUCCUCUUGGGUUCCCAGGAAGUUUAUUUACAGAAGUAAAAUUGC
This is a long non-coding RNA of Equus caballus (horse), 1799 nucleotides long. The record is from Ensembl. Lineage: Eukaryota; Metazoa; Chordata; Mammalia; Perissodactyla; Equidae.